UACAGAGGGGGCAAGCGUUGUUCGGAAUUACUGGGCGUAAAGGGCGCGUAGGCGGCCAGCACAAGUCAGUUGUGAAAUCUCCGAGCUUAACUCGGAAAGGUCAACUGAUACUGUGCGGCUAGAGUGCGGAAGGGGCAACUGGAAUUCUUGGUGUAGCGGUGAAAUGCGUAGAUAUCAAGAGGAACACCUGCGGCGAAGGCGGGUUGCUGGGCCGACACUGACGCUGAGGCGCGAAAGCCAGGGGAGCGAACGGG
RNAcentral lists this ribosomal RNA (254 nucleotides) under uncultured bacterium. RNAcentral describes it as "partial 16S ribosomal RNA". It matches the Rfam family "Bacterial small subunit ribosomal RNA", at positions 524 to 776 of the family's 1533-position model. The record is from RNAcentral.